Molecule: ribosomal RNA, 775 nt
Filed under: uncultured Neocallimastigales
Lineage: Eukaryota; Fungi; Neocallimastigomycota; Neocallimastigomycetes; Neocallimastigales
Description: partial large subunit ribosomal RNA
Rfam family: Eukaryotic large subunit ribosomal RNA
Source: RNAcentral
AGACUCUGUGCGCGUGCAUAUCAAUAAGCGGAGGAAAAGAAACUAACAAGGAUUCCCUUAGUAACGGCGAGUGAAGCGGGAAGAGCUCAAAUUUGAAAUCUUCAAGGUUCUACCUUGACGAAUUGUAGUUUAUAGAAGUGUUUUCUGUUAGUAGAGUGGCAAAAGUUCUUUGGAAUAGGACAUCAUAGAGGGUGAGAAUCCCGUAUUUGGUCAUUCUUUCUAGCUUUGUGAUACACUUUCAACGAGUCGGAUUGUUUGGGAAUGCAGUCCAAAAUGGGUGGUAAAUUUCAUCUAAAGCUAAAUAUUGGCGAGAGACCGAUAGCGAACAAGUACCGUGAGGGAAAGAUGAAAAGAACUUUGAAAAGAGAGUUAAACAGUACGUGAAAUUGUCAAAAGGGAAGCGUUUGACACCAGUGUUGUUUUCUCGAAAAUCAAUUAAAAAUGAUGGGAUUUGUAGUAGUAUUGACUUUAUCAGCUUUCUGCACUUUUUUCUCAUAUAUUAUUUAAUGCACUUUUCAGUUAACAAGUCAACAUCAAUUUCUUUUGUUGUAAAAGGGUCAUCGGAAGGUGGCUUUCUUUUCGGAGAAAGUGUUUAUAGCCUUUGGCCUCUGCAAUCGGAGAGAUUGAGGUCUGCAGCGUAGAUCCUUCGGGGUUAGAUACAUUUGUGCUAAGUUAUAGCCUUUCAUAGACAACUUGUUGACUAUGUUUAGUCAUGCGGCUUACUCGCUUGUGCUAUUUUACCUACGCUUAGGAUGUUGAAGAUGUAGCACAUCAU